This 856-nucleotide long non-coding RNA is filed under the name Panax ginseng (ginseng). Its description in RNAcentral is "long non-coding RNA (PGIN_LNC011470)". Lineage: Eukaryota; Viridiplantae; Streptophyta; Magnoliopsida; Apiales; Araliaceae. The record is from RNAcentral.
CGAGCAAUUUUAUUAUUACUUUUAAGAAAUUGAUAUUUUUACAUAAUUUUUUAAUAUUUUUAUUUAAAAAUCGUCGCUAUAUAUUUAUAAUGACACCUUUUAUAUAAAAAUAUCAAAAAAUCAUAUAAAAAUAUCAAUUUUCUAAAAAUAAUAAUAAUAAUAAAAAGGAUGAGUAGGAAAGAUGAAACAGAGUCCUUCAUCUUCAUGUUGCAUUUUUCUAUCAAACAAAACGUAGGAUGAACAAAUAAGCAUUUACGGUUAAGUUUCAAAGUGUUUCAUAGUUUCCAACUUGAAUAGAAAUUCUAAAGAAGAAAAGAAUAACUAAAUCAAACUUAUCAUACAACAAAUAGGAAACACCCGAUUACCCAAUCACCUCUAUGUAUAGCCCCCAUCCCCAUAUCCUAAGUAUAAUCAAACAAGAACCAGACCCUUAAAACGCCGCAGUGAUAUAAUCAAGAAGCAGGGCUAACGGCAGAUAACUUCUUACAAGGGUGCCGUCUCCGUGGUCUGAAACAGAGGCACUGAAAAGCCAAUUUGAGUACGUUUCUAAGAACUUGGCCCCUUUUUGGAAUCAAGCGAGGUGCUGUGGCCGCGGUGGUUACCCGGAGCCUUCGGGGGGGCGGCGACGGGGGAGGUAAGCUGGAUAUGGUGGUAGCAGCCAUUUGUGUGUGUUAAAUAUAUAGUGUAGUAGAAAAGAGAGGUAGUGAAGUGAGUGAAGGUUUGAACGGAAAUGAAAGCAAACGGCAGGUCGCGGAAGGAUCCGGCAGUGGUUAUGCAGUGGUUAUGCAGUGGUGAAGAGAGAGAAUUUAGUUAGUUAGUUAGAUAUAUGGACUAAUUUUGCAACCGCGUUCACGAG